This 443-nucleotide ribosomal RNA is filed under the name uncultured bacterium. RNAcentral describes it as "partial 16S ribosomal RNA". It matches the Rfam family "Bacterial small subunit ribosomal RNA", at positions 338 to 795 of the family's 1533-position model. The record is from RNAcentral.
CCUACGUGUGGCAGCAGUCGAGAAUUAUUCACAAUGGGGGAAUCCCUGAUGGUGCGCCGCCGCGUGAAGGAAGAAGGCUUUCGGGUUGUAAACUUCUUUUGUCAGGGACGAAGCAAGUGACGGUACCUGACGAAUAAGCCACGGCUAACUACGUGCCAGCAGCCGCGGUAAUACGUAGGUGGCAAGCGUUAUCCGGAUUUACUGGGUGUAAAGGGCGUGUAGGCGGGGAAGCAAGUCAGAUGUGAAAACCACGGGCUCAACCUGUGGCCUGCAUUUGAAACUGUUUUUCUUGAGUGCUGGAGAGGCAAUCGGAAUUCCGUGUGUAGCGGUGAAAUGCGUAGAUAUACGGAGGAACACCAGUGGCGAAGGCGGAUUGCUGGACAGUAACUGACGCUGAGGCGCGAAAGCGUGGGGAGCAAACAGGAUUAGAUACCCUUGUAGUC